RNAcentral lists this long non-coding RNA (493 nucleotides) under Zonotrichia albicollis (white-throated sparrow). Its description in RNAcentral is "lncRNA (ENSZALG00000010864.1)". The record is from RNAcentral. Lineage: Eukaryota; Metazoa; Chordata; Aves; Passeriformes; Passerellidae.
AUGAAGGGAUCAGAUGCACCAAGAUUGAAGACAAAAAAUGUGAAUUCUAAAAGAAUUUUCAUCUCAUCCUUCACACUAAACUGGUUAACCCUCACUUACAAGCCACGACUGCAGGCUCAGACCACCUUCAUUAAUUUCGCUGUCACCAGGGACAGGCUGAAAGACCAGCUGUUGGCUGAGGUUGUUAAUGCAAGACUCAAAAAAACAUAAGGGCUGCGUGUGGGAGAGAAGAGAACACGAUGCGAUCUCCUGCUGGUCUGCACCACAGUGAGUCCCCACGGGUCUCUGUUGGCUGCCUCCAUUCUGACACUGCUCUCUGACUGUGCUUGCAGAAGUUCACCUUCCUACUGUUAAGCCAUCCCACAGGGCCAGGAAGGAAGACUUUGGAGGAAUUCUGUGUAAACAAUUCCCCGUCGUAAACCUACCAAACGAUCUAAUGCAGCGAGUAAGGGAGAUCACCCACUCUAAAAUUACCAGCUUGUUCAAGUGAGAC